RNAcentral lists this ribosomal RNA (582 nucleotides) under Naganishia sp. Its description in RNAcentral is "eukaryotic LSU rRNA". It matches the Rfam family "Eukaryotic large subunit ribosomal RNA", at positions 62 to 648 of the family's 3401-position model. Lineage: Eukaryota; Fungi; Basidiomycota; Tremellomycetes; Filobasidiales; Filobasidiaceae. The record is from RNAcentral.
AAACUAACAAGGAUUCCCCUAGUAACGGCGAGUGAAGCGGGAAGAGCUCAAAUUCGAAAUCUAGUAGCCUUCGUCUGCUCAAGUUGUAAUCUAGAGAAGUGUUUUCCGUGCCGGUCCAUGUACAAGUCCCUUGGAACAGGGCGUCAUAGAGGGUGAGAAUCCCGUCCUUGACAUGGACCCCCGGUGGUGUGUGAUACACUUUCAACGAGUUGAGUUGUUUGGGAAUGCAGCUCAAAAUGGGUGGUGAAUUCCAUUUAAAGCUAAAUAUUGGCGAGAGACCGAUAGCGAACAAGUACCGUGAGGGAAAGAUGAAAAGCACUUUGGAAAGAGAGUUAAACAGUACGUGAAAUUGUUGAAAGGGAAACGAUUGAAGUCAGUCAUGCUCUUUGGUAUUUAUAUCAUUGAGUGGGGUCAACAUCAGUUUUGAGCGAUGGAUAAAGGCACUAGGAAGGUAGCACUCUCGGGUGAACUUAUAGCCUACCGUCAUAUACAUUGUUUGGGACUGAGGAACGCAGCAUGCCUUUAUGGCCGGGAUUCCUCCACGUACAUGCUUAGGAUGUUGACAUAAUGGCUUUAAACGAC